Molecule: long non-coding RNA, 335 nt
Filed under: Haliotis rufescens (red abalone)
Lineage: Eukaryota; Metazoa; Mollusca; Gastropoda; Lepetellida; Haliotidae
Description: uncharacterized LOC124136489, transcript variant X1
Source: RNAcentral
UGGAAAUUACGUGUUAAUAUUGUAGAAUAAAUUUUAUUUGCGAUAUCAGACUCUUACAAACAUACAACAAUGUUGGGCCAAUGAUGUUCCAACAUUCUAAAGUAUUACCCAGCUAUGAAACCAUUCAUGUGUCGCAAAGAGAACAUUGAUAGUGGGCAGCAAAACGUAUUAAGAGUUACCUCCCUUGAUAAUGCGAAGGAGCCGUCUGGCAUAAGGGCUAUUCACUGUACAUCAAUAAAGGAGGUUCCAGCCUGCGUCCCUGAGACAAGGGCAGAUCCGGACUAUCGUGAAGUUCUCACUCUACGCCCAUUGAAAAUAAAUCCCUUCUGACCCAA